Molecule: ribosomal RNA, 371 nt
Filed under: uncultured organism
Description: bacterial SSU rRNA
Rfam family: Bacterial small subunit ribosomal RNA
Source: RNAcentral
CGUAGGGUGCGAGCGUUAAUCGGAAUUACUGGGCGUAAAGCGUGCGCAGGCGGUUUGUUAAGAUAGGCGUGAAAUCCCCGGGCUCAACCUGGGAACUGCGCUUAUGACUGGCAAGCUAGAGUACGGCAGAGGGGGGUGGAAUUCCACGUGUAGCAGUGAAAUGCGUAGAGAUGUGGAGGAACACCAAUGGCGAAGGCAGCCCCCUGGGUCGAUACUGACGCUCAUGCACGAAAGCGUGGGUAGCAAACAGGAUUAGAUACCCUGGUAGUCCAGCCCUAAACGAUGUCAACUAGGUGUUGGGAGGGUAAAACCUUUUAGUACCGGAGCUAACGCGUGAAGUUGACCGCCUGGGGAGUACGGCCGCAAGGUUA